This 604-nucleotide long non-coding RNA is filed under the name Pan troglodytes (chimpanzee). RNAcentral describes it as "long non-coding RNA NONPTRT013010". The record is from RNAcentral. Lineage: Eukaryota; Metazoa; Chordata; Mammalia; Primates; Hominidae.
UGUCAGUGCUGGCCGAAGGGGGCGCCGAGAAGCUGAAGGAAAAAAGACGCAGAAUGUUGGAUUAAAGGAGGCAGGAUGGGCCAAAUACUCCUAUACAGUCCACGCAAAGAGGGGUUGGACGAGCUCGGGUCUUCACUGGGGAGCACUCAGGGACCAAGGGAUAUCCCUUGUCUCAAUAAUUCAUGCUGGUGAUUUCAAAACUUCUGGCCAUGUCUUCUGAGGCUAAAAAUAUUGAAGAUACUGCCUUCCCCAAAAGGACAGAGGAGAAGCAUGCCAAAAGGAGGAAAGGAAGUUACCAUAUCAAAAAGAUACCUGCACACAUAUGUGUAUCGCAGCACAAUUCACAAUUGCAGAUAUGGAGUCAACCAAGGUGCCCAUCAGCUUGUGGAUAAAGGAAAGUGUGAUGUAUACAGGCCAAGCACAGUGGCUCAUGCCUGUAAUCCAGCACUUUGGGAGGCUGAGGCAGAAGGAUUCCUUGAAGCCAGGAGUUUGAGACCAGCCUGGACAACAAAGUGAGACCCUGUCUCUAUUUUUUUUAAGUGGUGUAUAUGUACCAUGGAAUACUACUAAGCCAUAAAAAGAACCAAAUAAUGUAUUUUCAGCU